This is a non-coding RNA of Salvia hispanica, 2958 nucleotides long. The record is from RefSeq and is a predicted model, not a curated record. Lineage: Eukaryota; Viridiplantae; Streptophyta; Magnoliopsida; Lamiales; Lamiaceae.
CAUUUUCAAUCUCCAACUUGUCUUCCUUGAUAAUAUUGAGUUUAUAUGACAACAGUCUCACAGGAUGUAUCCCAAUUUUCCAAAAUCUUCAGGAAUUGUAUCUCCAUAACAACAACUUCAAAGGACUUAUUCCUCCGAAUAUCUGGAAGUGCAAAAAUCUUGAGAUCUUGAACUUGAACUACAACAAUCUCAGUGGCAACAUCCCUCGUACAAUUGGAAAUAUGAGCAUGCUUAGAGAGUUGCACUUGGGUUGCAACCAUUUCACAGGUGAAUUACCACAAGAGAUUGGCACUCUGCCAAUGCUUGAGACUUUCACCGUGUUUAACAAUUCCUUAUAUGGAUUGAUCCCAUCUUCCAUAUUCAACAUAUCAACUUUGAAGAAUUUACAAGUUACAUAUAAUGAGUUUUCAGGUACUCUUCCAUCAGAUUUGGGGAAUUCACUUGUCACUCUUGAAAAGCUCAUUUUGGGUUUUAACUUAUUUAGUGGCUCAAUUCCAAGCUCUAUCGCCAAUGCUUCCAAACUUACAAGUUUGAUAUUGGUUGCCAACUUAUUUAGUGGCUCUAUACCCCACUUCGGUGAUUUGAAGUUCUUACAACUCCUUUCCCUUUCGGAAAAUAAUUUGAGUGGGGCAGAAUUCACAACUCAGGAACUGACAUCUCUCUCUUCAUUAAGUAAUUGUAGACAAUUGAAGUACCUGGAUGUAAAUAGCAAUCCACUAAAUGGCAUCCUACCUGCUUCACUAGGAAAUUUUUCCUCAUCUCUUGUGUUUUUUGAUGUAACAAACUGCAGCAUCAUAGGUGACAUUACUUCUGAAUUAGGAAACUUAAGUAGUUUGCUAGCUCUAAGUUUAACUAGAAAUCAGUUGAGUGGACUCAUUCCACCAACAAUUGGGAAAAUGAAGCAACUCCAAAGAUUUAAUCUUGAUGGAAAUCAGUUGGUAGGAUCUAUCCCUAACCAACUUUGCCAAAUGAAUCAUUUGGGGGAGUUGUACCUAAGCAUGAACAUGCUUGUGGGUCCCAUACAUGAAUGCUUAGGUGAUGUUAAAUCCUUGAGAGUCAUCUCCUUAGGUUACAACCAAUUGAAUUCUACCAUUCCUCCUAACUUGUGGUUCUCAAGGACCUUUUGGCUUUGAGCUUGGUCUCCAAUAAUUUGAGUGGUCAAUUGUCAUCCGCGCUUGGAAAUUUCAAGUUAAUCUAUCAUUUGGACUUGUCGUCUAAUCAAUUUUCAGGUGAUAUUCCUACCUCAAUUGAUGAUUGUCAAACACUAGAGUUUCUUAACUUAUCAAAUAAUUUUCUUAGUGGAUCCAUUCCUCAAUCCUUGGCAAAGGUUAAAGUUUUGGUAACAUUGGAUUUAUCUUACAAUAAUCUUUCUGGAUCAAUACCCAAACUCUUGGAAGACCUAUGUUGUCUUGAAAAUUUUAAUGUUUCCAACAACAAACUGGAAGGGAGAAUUCCAGAUGGUGGCUGCUUUGGUAACUUCAGUGCACCGUCUUUUUCUGACAACUUAGCUUUGUGUGGUCUAAUAACAUUUCAAGUUGCACCCUGUCCAGAAAGCCAUCAUAGAUCAUGGUUAAAGAAGCUCAUGGUGUCAUUAGUGAUUUUAGCUGUCAUUGUGGCGAUUGCAUUGCUUGCUUUCAUACGGAUGUGUAAACAGAAAAAAGUACCCCUCUUGGUUCAUUUUUCAGCACAAAUUACUGAAUGCAUAGGAAUUCCUUACAAUGAACUUGAACGAGGAACAAGUUCAUUUAGCGAAACCAACCUACUUGGAAGAGGUAGCUUUGGUUCUGUAUUCGAAGCAACACUUUCGGAUGGGUUGAAAGUUGCUGUAAAAGUGUUCAACUUGGAACUACAAGGAGCAGCAAGGAGCUUUGGUGUUGAAAGUUCUAUAUUGAGCAGCAUUCGACACAGAAAUUUAGUUCGGGUUAUUGGAUAUUGUUGUAAUGUGAACUUUAAAGCAUUAAUUCUCACAUACAUGCCAAAUGGGAGCUUGGAUCAAUGGUUGCAUUCCAACAAUUAUAGUGUGGAUCUUAUACAGAGGUUGAAAAUAGCAAUAGACGUUGCGGCCGCCAUGGAAUAUCUUCACCAUGGCUAUACAUUCCCAAUUGUUCACUGCGAAAUAAAACCAAGCAAUGUGUUGCUUGAUCAAGACAUGGUUGCCCAUCUUGCUGAUUUUGGCAUUUCCAAGCUUUUCAAUGGAGGCGAAACUAUCCUUCAAACACAAACAAUGGCAACCAUCGGUUAUGCAGCACCAGAGUUUGGAAUAGAAGGGAAAGUUUCAAUAAAUGGAGAUGUAUAUAGUUUUGGGAUACUGCUGCUGGAGAUGUUUACCGGAAAGAGGCCAAUGGACGAUAUGUUCGAUGAAGAAAGAAGCUUAAAACAGUGGGUAAGCGAAGCACUAGAGCAAAAUACCGCAACUCAAGUGAUGGCGUCUGCUUUGCUGUCAAGGGAAGAUCAAUAUUACUCUGCCAAGGAGAAAUGCAUGUUAUCAACAUUUGAAUUGGCAAUGAAAUGUUUAGUUGUUUCAGCAGACGAAAGGAUCAGUAUGAUUGAAACAGCGGCCGCUCUGCACAAGAUUUAUGCCACAUUUGUAGCGGGAACUCAAUGGCGUCGUCCAUGAAAUUUUCCCUCCAAAUCUCCACCGCAUUCGGCAUCAUUUUGUAGCCGCAAUCAGCCCAUGGCUCCACCCGGUGAUUCGCCUACCUCUAUGCGCUAGCUACAUGCCACGGCGAGAGGAUUAAAAGCAGAUUCAGAAUUCUGCUUUGGAUCGAUUCUGGCUCUGGAUCGGAGAGGUUCAGAAAAGAAUAUUUAGGUUUAAGGAUUUUAACUGUGUUCCAUCUGUCUUAAUUGUUUAGGACCAAAUUAUAAUUUAAUUGUUGUAAUUAAAUCAGGCCCAGAGACUUAUAGAAUUAAUUAAUUCUUGGACUUUUAUGCUUGGGAAGGAAGGCCCAAGUGUAAUUA